Molecule: ribosomal RNA, 254 nt
Filed under: uncultured bacterium
Lineage: Bacteria
Description: partial 16S ribosomal RNA
Rfam family: Bacterial small subunit ribosomal RNA
Source: RNAcentral
GACGAACCGUGCGACGGUUAUUCGGAAUUACUGGGCUUAAAGCGCGUGUAGGCGGGCCGGCACGUCGGUCGCUGAAAGCCCCCGGCUCAACCGGGGAAGCGGCGCCGAUACGACCGGCCUGGAGGGGGGUAGGGGGACCUGGAACUUCCGGUGGAGCGGUGAAAUGCGUUGAGAUCGGAAGGAACGCCCGUGGCGAAAGCGAGGUCCUGGACCCUUUCUGACGCUGAGGCGCGAAAGCCAGGGGAGCGAACGGG